This 859-nucleotide ribosomal RNA is filed under the name Austrostrongylus victoriensis. Its description in RNAcentral is "partial 16S ribosomal RNA". Lineage: Eukaryota; Metazoa; Nematoda; Chromadorea; Rhabditida; Heligmosomidae. The record is from RNAcentral.
AUAAGUUUGUUUUAUUUAUUAAUAGGUAUUGCAUACCGUUUUAGGAAAAUUUUAUAAAUUAUGAAAUAUAAAAAUAAAAGGUAGAAUAUAUUAAUUAAUUUUGUUGUUUCAUAACAAGAAUUAUUAGUAUUAGGGUUGAUAUGUCGACUUUUAUGAUAUUUGUUUCAUCGAUUACAUUAGAAAAUUAUGUAUUAUUAAAAAUUUAGGGUAAAUUAAUAAGUUGAAGUAUUAUUAUUUUAAGUUUUAUAACUUUUUAUCAUAGUUAUUGGUACACUAUUUUUUAUUUAUUAAGUUUUUAAUAAAUAAAUUAUUUAAAAAUUAGUAAAUUGGUUUUAUAAUAUAAUUAAUUAUAAUUUAAUAAGAUAAUUCAGAUAUUAAUCAAAUGUUUUUUAAAGACUUAGACUUUAUAUUAAAGUUUGCUUCUGCCCGGUGAUAAAUUAAAUGGCAGUCUUAGCGUGAGGACAUUAAGGUAGCAAAAUAAUUUGUGCUUUUAUUGAGUUCCAGUAUGAAUGGAGUUAUUGGUUAAUUUAUUUUCUUAUUUUAAAUUGAAUUUUUAUUUGUAUAAAAAAGUAUAGUUGUAAUUAAACAAAGAUAAGUCUUCGGAAAUUUUUUUUAAUAUGCUUAUGAUUUUUGUAUAUUAAAGUUUUCUAGGGCAGAAUUUUAUAUAAUUUGUUAUUUCUAUCGAUAAUUUAAUAAAUUACUCCGGAGUUAACAGAAAAUCAUACCUAAUCUAGUUGUUAUAGUGGGGUAAGUUUUACAUCGAUGUUGUAUUUAAGUAUAUUAAAAAAGGAGAAGAUUUAGUAAUUAAGACUGUUCUUCUUUUAAUUAACUUAACGUGAUAUUAGUUUAAUUCAUUGUG